UACGUAGGGGGCAAGCGUUGUCCGGAAUUAUUGGGCGUAAAGAGCGCGUAGGCGGUCCGAUAAGUCGGCUGUGAAAGUCACAGGCUCAACCUGUGAAUGCCGCUGGAAACUGUCUGGCUAGAGUCCGGAAGGGGCGAGUGGAAUUCCUGGUGUAGCGGUGAAAUGCGCAGAUAUCAGGAGGAACACCAAUAGCGAAGGCAGCUCGCUGGGACGGUACUGACGCUGAGGCGCGAAAGCGUGGGGAGCAAACAGG
This 253-nucleotide ribosomal RNA is filed under the name uncultured bacterium. RNAcentral describes it as "partial 16S ribosomal RNA". It matches the Rfam family "Bacterial small subunit ribosomal RNA", at positions 524 to 776 of the family's 1533-position model. The record is from RNAcentral.